This 32-nucleotide non-coding RNA is filed under the name Geobacter sulfurreducens PCA. Lineage: Bacteria; Pseudomonadati; Thermodesulfobacteriota; Desulfuromonadia; Geobacterales; Geobacteraceae. The record is from RNAcentral.
AGUGGCCCCACCGGCAGUAUAGCCGGUUCCGC